GGAUCCAGACUUUGAUCAUGGCUCAGGAUGAACGCUAGCUACAGGCUUAACACAUGCAAGCCGAGGGGAAACGACAUCGAAAGCUUGCUUUUGAUGGGCGUCGACCGGCGCACGGGUGAGUAACGCGUAUCCAACCUGCCCACCACUUGGGGAUAACCUUGCGAAAGUAAGACUAAUACCCAAUGAUAUCUCUAGAAGACAUCUGAAAGAGAUUAAAGAUUUAUCGGUGAUGGAUGGGGAUGCGUCUGAUUAGCUUGUUGGCGGGGUAACGGCCCACCAAGGCAACGAUCAGUAGGGGUUCUGAGAGGAAGGUCCCCCACAUUGGAACUGAGACACGGUCCAAACUCCUACGGGAGGCAGCAGUGAGGAAUAUUGGUCAAUGGACGAGAGUCUGAACCAGCCAAGUAGCGUGCAGGAUGACGGCCCUAUGGGUUGUAAACUGCUUUUAUAAGGGAAUAAAGUGAGUCUCGUGAGACUUUUUGCAUGUACCUUAUGAAUAAGGACCGGCUAAUUCCGUGCCAGCAGCCGCGGUAAUACGGAAGGUCCGGGCGUUAUCCGGAUUUAUUGGGUUUAAAGGGAGCGUAGGCCGGAGAUUAAGCGUGUUGUGAAAUGUAGACGCUCAACGUCUGCACUGCAGCGCGAACUGGUUUCCUUGAGUACGCACAAAGUGGGCGGAAUUCGUGGUGUAGCGGUGAAAUGCUUAGAUAUCACGAAGAACUCCGAUUGCGAAGGCAGCUCACUGGAGCGCAACUGACGCUGAAGCUCGAAAGUGCGGGUAUCGAACAGGAUUAGAUACCCUGGUAGUCCGCACGGUAAACGAUGGAUGCCCGCUGUUGGUCUGAAUAGGUCAGCGGCCAAGCGAAAGCAUUAAGCAUCCCACCUGGGGAGUACGCCGGCAACGGUGCAACUCAAAUGAAUUGACGG
RNAcentral lists this ribosomal RNA (924 nucleotides) under uncultured Bacteroidota bacterium. Its description in RNAcentral is "bacterial SSU rRNA". It matches the Rfam family "Bacterial small subunit ribosomal RNA", at positions 1 to 916 of the family's 1533-position model. The record is from RNAcentral. Lineage: Bacteria; Pseudomonadati; Bacteroidota.